RNAcentral lists this ribosomal RNA (253 nucleotides) under uncultured bacterium. RNAcentral describes it as "partial 16S ribosomal RNA". It matches the Rfam family "Bacterial small subunit ribosomal RNA", at positions 524 to 776 of the family's 1533-position model. The record is from RNAcentral.
UACGUAGGGUGCGAGCGUUAAUCGGAAUUACUGGGCGUAAAGCGUGCGCAGGCGGCUUUGCAAGACAGAUGUGAAAUCCCCGGGCUCAACCUGGGAACUGCAUUUGUGACUGCAAGGCUAGAGUACGGCAGUGGGGGAUGGAAUUCCGCGUGUAGCAGUGAAAUGCGUAGAUAUGCGGAGGAACACCAAUGGCGAAGGCAAUCCCCUGGGCCUGUACUGACGCUCAUGCACGAAAGCGUGGGGAGCAAACAGG